Molecule: ribosomal RNA, 305 nt
Filed under: uncultured bacterium
Lineage: Bacteria
Description: bacterial SSU rRNA
Rfam family: Bacterial small subunit ribosomal RNA
Source: RNAcentral
GCCUACGGGGCGCAGCAGUAGGGAAUUUUCGUCAAUGGGCGCAAGCCUGAACGAGCAAUGCCGCGUGAACGAGGAAGGUCUUCGGAUCGUAAAGUUCUGUUGCAGGGGAAAAAGAGCGGAGAGAGGAAAUGGUCUCCGAUUGAUAUUACCCUUCGAGGAAGUCACGGCUAACUACGUGCCAGCAGCCGCGGUAAUACGUAGGUGGCGAGCGUUAUCCGGAAUGAUUGGGCGUAAAGGGUGCGUAGGCGGCCUGCUAAGUCUGGAGUGAAAGGUACCGGCUCAACCGGUACAGGCUCUGGCAACUG